AGAGUUUGAUCCUGGCUCAGGACGAACGCUGGCGGCGUGCUUAACACAUGCAAGUGGAGCGACGAACCAGGGCUUGCCCUGGGGCAGAGCCGCGAACGGGUGAGUAACACGUGGGUAACGUGCCCCAAUGAUCGGGACAACCCGGGGAAACCCGGGCUAAUACCGAAUGUGCUCCCCUCACACCAGUGAGGGGUGGAAAGGAAGCUUCGGCCUCCGCAUUGGGAUCGGCCCGCGGCCCAUUAGCUUGUUGGUGAGGUAACGGCUCACCAAGGCUGCGAUGGGUAGCUGGUCUGAGAGGACGAUCAGCCACACUGGGACUGAGACACGGCCCAGACUCCUACGGGAGGCAGCAGUGGGGAAUCUUGCGCAAUGCGCGAAAGCGUGACGCAGCAACGCCGCGUGGGGGAAGAAGGCCUUCGGGUUGUAAACCCCUUUCAGGAGGGACGAAGCCUUGGCGGUUAAUAGCCGACCGAGGUGACGGUACCUCCAGAAGAAGCCCCGGCUAACUACGUGCCAGCCGCCGCGGUAAUAC
Molecule: ribosomal RNA, 532 nt
Filed under: uncultured bacterium
Lineage: Bacteria
Description: bacterial SSU rRNA
Rfam family: Bacterial small subunit ribosomal RNA
Source: RNAcentral